Molecule: long non-coding RNA, 358 nt
Organism: Gopherus flavomarginatus (Mexican gopher tortoise)
Lineage: Eukaryota; Metazoa; Chordata; Testudines; Testudinidae
Exons: 2
Source: RefSeq, a predicted model, not a curated record
AGGAGAAUGGACCCAGGAAACACGCACUUGUAUAUCAGCGUAAGCGUUGCCCUCAGACAAAACCCCGGGGAGGGGAAGAUGGCUAUGAAUAUGUGCAAUAAAAAACGGGUGAGACCGGGAGCGCAGAAGCUGGGGACAAUGGAAAAAUGAGAAAAGGCUAAACAAAGGGCAGCAAGUUCUGCCCGUUGAGGGCUUGUUUGAGGAGUGGUAAACCACGAGUGCCAUUGCGUGGCAGUACACCAAGAAACAACACCACGGGUUGGGCAGCCAUCAGUGAAUACUGUAAGCGCAUCAAUUAUGGGGGUUUGCUGGCAAAAAUUACAAAAUACAGUGGGAAUGUGACAAAUGGCAUGCAGGC